RNAcentral lists this ribosomal RNA (184 nucleotides) under Staphylococcus epidermidis Scl25. Its description in RNAcentral is "partial 23S ribosomal RNA". It matches the Rfam family "Bacterial large subunit ribosomal RNA", at positions 1 to 182 of the family's 2925-position model. The record is from RNAcentral. Lineage: Bacteria; Bacillati; Bacillota; Bacilli; Caryophanales; Staphylococcaceae.
AGAUUAAGUUAUUAAGGGCGCACGGUGGAUGCCUUGGCACUAGAAGCCGAUGAAGGACGUUACUAACGACGAUAUGCUUUGGGUAGCUGUAAGUAAGCGUUGAUCCAGAGAUUUCCGAAUGGGGGAACCCAGCAUGAGUUAUGUCAUGUUAUCGACAUGUGAAUUCAUAGCAUGUCAGAAGGCA